CAGUCGCCACGGGAAUACGUAGGUGGCAAGCGUUGUCCGGAAUUAUUGGGCGUAAAGGGCUCGCAGGCGGUUUCUUAAGUCUGAUGUGAAAGCCCCCGGCUCAACCGGGGAGGGUCAUUGGAAACUGGGAAACUUGAGUGCAGAAGAGGAGAGUGGAAUUCCACGUGUAGCGGUGAAAUGCGUAGAGAUGUGGGGGAACACCAGUGGCGAAGGCGACUCUCUGGUCUGUAACUGACGCUGAGGAGCGAAAGCGUGGGGAGCGAACAGGAUUAGAUACCCCAGUAGUCCCUGUCUCUUAUAC
Molecule: ribosomal RNA, 301 nt
Filed under: uncultured bacterium
Lineage: Bacteria
Description: partial 16S ribosomal RNA
Rfam family: Bacterial small subunit ribosomal RNA
Source: RNAcentral